UCCAUCCCUGCAACUGAAAAGUCCGAGGUGUCGGGACGUGCUCUCGGCGGCCUGAUUCCACCCCUUCACCCACCCACCACUUUCUAGGUGAAGUUAAGGCUCACCUUCGAAGUGAGGGGCAGAUGGUUUUCCUGGCGUCAGGUGGGAAGUGGAGGGCACAGGUGCAGAGCGAACUAAAUGGUCACAGAUCGACGGUAGCAUGAAGCCUUGAGAGGCGAGAGUCCUAGGAGCGGGGAUGGAAAGGAAGAAUUCCAAACGCCUUUCGGACUUAACAGAGGAGAGACCCCAACUAAGCACUUGCAGAGCGACUAGGAGUCCUGGCAGUUGGAAGGCGCAGCGCACGAGUUCAUCAAAUGGCUAUAUUGAAAGAUAGCCAAGCAUAAGAUGCUCUUUGCAGACUCCUAGAGCCCCCACCCCACCCCUUCCAGAAACAGAUGACAUUCUUCUACCAGGGAGACAUGAGGAGCUAACUUAGGAAAUGGGUUUUAAUAAUGUGUAAAUAUCACGAUUUCAGAGUCUAAGGAGCUUCUGUGUAAAAUGAUGAGCUUCUGUUUGGAUUUAGUUAGGGAUUCAGGGGAAGGGCAUGAAAAGUGACUUAUGCUACUAAUAAACACUCUUUAAUUAAA
This 626-nucleotide long non-coding RNA is filed under the name Homo sapiens (human). RNAcentral's name for it is "non-protein coding KCNH1-IT1:1". Lineage: Eukaryota; Metazoa; Chordata; Mammalia; Primates; Hominidae. The record is from RNAcentral.